RNAcentral lists this ribosomal RNA (411 nucleotides) under Bacillus sp. (in: firmicutes). Its description in RNAcentral is "bacterial SSU rRNA". It matches the Rfam family "Bacterial small subunit ribosomal RNA", at positions 48 to 448 of the family's 1533-position model. Lineage: Bacteria; Bacillati; Bacillota; Bacilli; Caryophanales; Bacillaceae. The record is from RNAcentral.
CUAAUACAUGCAGUCGAGCGGACCGACGGGAGCUGUGCUCCCUUAGGUCAGCGGCGGACGGGUGAGUAACACGUGGGUAACCUGCCUGUAAGACUGGGAUAACUCCGGGAAACCGGGGCUAAUACCGGAUGCUUGAUUGAACCGCAUGGUUCAAUUAUAAAAGGUGGCUUUUAGCUACCACUUACAGAUGGACCCGCGGCGCAUUAGCUAGUUGGUGAGGUAACGGCUCACCAAGGGAACGAUGCGUAGCCGACCUGAGAGGGUGAUCGGCCACACUGGGACUGACACACGGCCCAGACUCCUACGGGAGGCAGCAGUACGGAAUCUUCCGCAAUGGACGAAAGUCUGACGGAGCAACGCCGCGUGAGUGAUGAAGGAUUUCGGAUCGUAUCACUCUGUUGUUAGUGAAGA